RNAcentral lists this ribosomal RNA (483 nucleotides) under uncultured bacterium. RNAcentral describes it as "partial 16S ribosomal RNA". It matches the Rfam family "Bacterial small subunit ribosomal RNA", at positions 30 to 506 of the family's 1533-position model. The record is from RNAcentral.
AUUGAACGCUGGCGGCAGGCCUAACACAUGCAAGUCGAGCGGAUGAAGGGAGCUUGCUCCUGGAUUCAGCGGCGGACGGGUGAGUAAUGCCUAGGAAUCUGCCUGGUAGUGGGGGAUAACGUCCGGAAACGGGCGCUAAUACCGCAUACGUCCUGAGGGAGAAAGUGGGGGAUCUUCGGACCUCACGCUAUCAGAUGAGCCUAGGUCGGAUUAGCUAGUUGGUGGGGUAAAGGCCUACCAAGGCGACGAUCCGUAACUGGUUUGAGAGGAUGAUCAGUCACACUGGAACUGAGACACGGUCCAGACUCCUACGGGAGGCAGCAGUGGGGAAUAUUGGACAAUGGGCGAAAGCCUGAUCCAGCCAUGCCGCGUGUGUGAAGAAGGUCUUCGGAUUGUAAAGCACUUUAAGUUGGGAGGAAGGGCAGUAAGUUAAUACCUUGCUGUUUUGACGUUACCAACAGAAUAAGCACCGGCUAACUUCGU